GAUCCCUAGUACUGCGAGUGAAGCGGGAAAAGCUCAAAUUUAAAAUCCUUCGGGAGUUGUAAUCUAUAGAAGUGUUUUCGGUCGUUGCCUCGGACAAGUCUCUUGGAACAGAGCGUCAUAGAGGGUGAGAAUCCCGUCCUUGCCGAGCUCCCAACGUCUAUGUGAUACACUUUCAAAGAGUCGAGUUGUUUGGGAAUGCAGCUCAAAACGGGUGGUAAACUCCAUCUAAAGCUAAAUAUUGGCGAGAGACCGAUAGCGAACAAGUACCGUGAGGGAAAGAUGAAAAGCACUUUGGAAAGAGAGUUAAACAGUACGUGAAAUUGUUGAAAGGGAAGCGCUUGGAGUCAGUCGCGUUGCAAAGACUCAGCCUCACGGUGUAUUUCUUUGCAACGGGUCAACAUCAAUUUUGACCGCGGGAAAAGGGUUUGAGGAAUGUGGCAACUUCGGUUGUGUUAUAGCCUCUUGCCGUACACCGCGGUUGGGAUUGAGGUCUGCUUACAGGAUGUUGACGAAAUGGCUCUAAGCGACCCGUCUUGA
Molecule: ribosomal RNA, 537 nt
Filed under: Dacrymyces subalpinus
Lineage: Eukaryota; Fungi; Basidiomycota; Dacrymycetes; Dacrymycetales; Dacrymycetaceae
Description: eukaryotic LSU rRNA
Rfam family: Eukaryotic large subunit ribosomal RNA
Source: RNAcentral